This 267-nucleotide ribosomal RNA is filed under the name Triticum aestivum (bread wheat). RNAcentral describes it as "partial small subunit ribosomal RNA". The record is from RNAcentral. Lineage: Eukaryota; Viridiplantae; Streptophyta; Magnoliopsida; Poales; Poaceae.
CUUUUCGAGACAGGGAGACAUUCUAUCUACAAUUUGAUUGAUCGAUUGUUGCGAUUGCUUCUAACUCUUCCAGUUUCUACAGCAAGUGCCGAGCGAGCAUUCUCAACCUUAAAGAUCAUUAAGACAAGGCUACGUAAUACCAUGGAAGAUGAUUAUCUAGCCAAUAGCUUGCUAGUAAAAAUAGAGAGUGAAAUCACGGAGAAGUACAGCUAUGAAGAUGUUCUUAUGCACUUUAAGGGUGCAAAGAAACGAAAAGCUAAUCUGUAG